Molecule: transfer RNA, 56 nt
Filed under: Loxodonta africana (African savanna elephant)
Lineage: Eukaryota; Metazoa; Chordata; Mammalia; Proboscidea; Elephantidae
Rfam family: tRNA
About the family: Transfer RNA (tRNA) molecules are approximately 80 nucleotides in length. Their secondary structure includes four short double-helical elements and three loops (D, anti-codon, and T loops). Further hydrogen bonds mediate the characteristic L-shaped molecular structure. tRNAs have two regions of fundamental functional importance: the anti-codon, which is responsible for specific mRNA codon recognition, and the 3' end, to which the tRNAs corresponding amino acid is attached (by aminoacyl-tRNA synthetases). tRNAs cope with the degeneracy of the genetic code in two manners: having more than one tRNA (with a specific anti-codon) for a particular amino acid; and 'wobble' base-pairing, i.e. permitting non-standard base-pairing at the 3rd anti-codon position.
Source: Rfam by way of RNAcentral
GCUUAUUGGGUUAAGCAUUUGGCUACUAACCAAAAGGUUGGCAGUUUGAAUCCGCC